This 820-nucleotide ribosomal RNA is filed under the name uncultured bacterium. RNAcentral's name for it is "bacterial SSU rRNA". It matches the Rfam family "Bacterial small subunit ribosomal RNA", at positions 28 to 863 of the family's 1533-position model. The record is from RNAcentral.
GACGAACGCUGGCGGCGUGCCUAACACAUGCAAGUCGAACGGAGUUGAAAGAGCUUGCUUUUUCAACUGAGUGGCGGACGGGUGAGUAACGCGUGAGUAACCUGCCUUUCAGAGGGGGAUAACGUUUGGAAACGAACGCUAAUACCGCAUAAGCUGGUAGGGCCGCAUGGUCCAGCCAGAAAAGGAGCAAUCCGCUGAAAGAUGGACUCGCGUCCGAUUAGCUAGUUGGUGGGGUAAAGGCCUACCAAGGCGACGAUCGGUAGCCGGACUGAGAGGUCGAACGGCCACAUUGGGACUGAGACACGGCCCAGACUCCUACGGGAGGCAGCAGUGGGGGAUAUUGCACAAUGGAGGAAACUCUGAUGCAGCAACGCCGCGUGAGGGAAGAAGGUUUUCGGAUUGUAAACCUCUGUCUUCGGUGACGAUAAUGACGGUAGCCGAGGAGGAAGCUCCGGCUAACUACGUGCCAGCAGCCGCGGUAAUACGUAGGGAGCGAGCGUUGUCCGGAAUUACUGGGUGUAAAGGGUGCGUAGGCGGGAAAGCAAGUCAGGCGUGAAAACUAUCGGCUUAACUGGUAGACUGCGUUUGAAACUGUUUUUCUUGAGUGAAGUAGAGGUAGGCGGAAUUCCCGGUGUAGCGGUGGAAUGCGUAGAGAUCGGGAGGAACACCAGUGGCGAAGGCGGCCUACUGGGCUUUAACUGACGCUGAGGCACGAAAGCAUGGGUAGCAAACAGGAUUAGAUACCCUGGUAGUCCAUGCCGUAAACGAUCUUAAGAGGUGUGGGGGGUCUGACCCCUUCCGUGCCGGAGUAACACAAUAA